CGGGGUAUAGCGCAGCCUGGUAGCGCAACUGCUUUGGGAGCAGUGGGUCGGGAGUUCAAAUCUCUCUACCCCGACCA
RNAcentral lists this transfer RNA (77 nucleotides) under Pseudomonadota bacterium. RNAcentral describes it as "Proteobacteria bacterium (cold seep metagenome) tRNA-Pro". It matches the Rfam family "tRNA". Rfam says of the family: Transfer RNA (tRNA) molecules are approximately 80 nucleotides in length. Lineage: Bacteria; Pseudomonadati; Pseudomonadota. RNAcentral also lists the same sequence under 2 other names. The record is from RNAcentral.